This is a long non-coding RNA of Esox lucius (northern pike), 11933 nucleotides long. NCBI's taxonomy places the organism in Eukaryota, Metazoa, Chordata, Actinopteri, Esociformes, Esocidae. The record is from Ensembl.
UCAACUUUUUUGGAAAGGACAGAAAAAAGUGCAGUGGUCUCUUAAUUAUUUCCAGAGCUGUAUAUAUAUUUUUUUAAGUUUAUUAAAAUGUAUUACAGGUAACAACUUAUAGCACUUUUGGGACUUAAGUUUAUCAACUUAAAAAUGCCAUAUUUUAUUAAAAUGAACAAAAUUGAUGAGGGAAUGAUGAUGAUGUGCAGUGCAAGAAUCAUGUUUAAAAUGUCACCUUGAUCACACCUACAACAUGGGUAUUUGUGCAUGUUCAACACUCACCUUUGUUACAAUUUUCGUCAAGCUGUUUACAAACCAUUUACUGUGUAUGUUAGAUCAAUCUAACACACCACACAGUACAUACUGAAGCUUUACAUCCCAGUGCUGCAAUGCAAAUAUGCAGUAGCGGUGAAUUGGAAUGGAACGUUUUCCUGGUGUGCCAGAGGGCUAUGAUGCAGUAGGUGUGAUCGAGGCAUUGCCAUUUAAUGUCCUGAACAUUAAUUAGUUAUUCAGGUCCAUAUCAGUGAGGAUAGAAUUUGUUAUGUGUACAAAAAAAUGCACAGGACACAAAUGAAAGUUUUGGCAUAAGCUUUUAACAUUUUUAUUGAGUUUUGAUGUUUUCUCUUUAAAUUGGAUUUGUUUGUUUUUCCAGUAAAUUUUGUGUUUUUUUCAUAAUUUUAUUAUUCUUGUUUUAUUUACCUAUCUGUAAAGGAGAAGAGUUGUUCAGUUUAAUUAGCAUUCACUUUCAAACUUUCAUACUUUUUAUAAUAGAACUGUUUUAAGUCUCUUUUUUCACAAACUUUGUUAAAUUAUUACUGUUUAUUCAUCUUUUUUCUUUACAUGUUUCAAAAAUAUAAAAGGUAAAUAAUAAACAUUCCAUUGAAAUAUAUUUUAUACAGUUCUUGAUUCGUUUUUUUUAUUUUCCUGUGUUAUGACAUUAAAAUUGUAUCCAGCAUCUGUCUUUACAGCAUAAACCCCAUUCAGUGUUAUUGUAGUAACCUUCUCUUCCUCCAUCUCUGUCUUCCCUCUCUUCUGCCCCUGAUAGGAAAGUUGCAUGGCAGCACCCAGUGCCUUGUUCGCUGGCGACAAUGUAGUCAUAGCACAACAGUUGAGAGGACGAGUAGAAAUGGUAGCUGCAUUGCCGUUUUUAGUGCAAUGUAACUUUUCAAAUGUAAAAAGGUACAACACAAAUCAGCAGUCAAACCAAUAAAUCGGUCAAAAAAAGGCAGCAGAUGCUAAGAAAAAGGAAUAAAAGAAGAAAAUAAAAACAGAGAACCACAGAUAAAAUGAAUAACAAUGAUGUGCAUCCAAACAGAUACAUGUUAUACUCUUUGAAGUGACAGGCUACAUGAUGCGUCGGUCUAUGGGUGAAGAUGUAUCGAUGUUUAGGACAGGUGCACACGUAACAAUGUAAAAGAAGGGACAGACCGGUGCUAUAAUACUGGCACUGCUGAGAUCUCCCAGAUGUUUUACGUGUAUCAGUGACAAUAUCGGACUCAUGAAACUGAGCCUAGUUCACCUUCCUUUUCCUUUCAAGAGCAAUUCACAUACAUAUAGCCAAUAUAUUCCUACCAAUUCAAUCAAGCCACACAAAACAAAAUAAUGAAACAAAAGAAGGUAAAACAGCUAUAUAGAAAAAUAUUUUUUCUUUUUUUUAAUAGUUAAUUCAUUUUACUUUGCAUAUUCCCCCCGCCCCCCAGUCCUCUCACCACUGGCUGAGAGAGAAAGAGGAAGACAGAGAUUGCUGGCGAAAAGAGAGUUACUUCAUUCUGGCCAUUCACAAAUAAGUUAUAUUUUUUACUUUUUUUUCUCCCACGCAUGCAUUAGAAUUCAACUUCAAACAAUAUGUUAGAAAAACACAAGAACAGGGAUGCAAAAAGAGCUUCUUCCUCAAAAAAUGUGUGGAGGAGGGAAAGAAGGAGAGGGGGCUAGGAGACAGGGGGGAGGGAGGAAGACGGGGGGUAAGAGAGAAUACGUGACAGCGGGGUUUUCUGGCUUUACUCGGCUUCUCUCUUGAUAUGUUUCGUAUUUGGGUUUCAAGUAAAGUUAUGCAAGUGUUGAGCUGUCAUUCCUCUCAAAUGGGCGUGGCUCAAGUUCAGGAGCAGGGUCACACACUACCCCUGACACAUUAUCACUGACAUUGUGGAACCGACAACUGCGGUAGGCCAGUCAUUCACAUGUGGAGGUUGUUCAAUGGUACCAGCUCAGGAUCCACCAGUAGUACAUGAGUUGGUAAAAAUGCUUCUGAAUCAUGAUGGAAACAUGACAAAUUAAUCAAUAGCUGCUUUUCUAAAAAAGAGUUACUACUUCUUACCUGCUGUGUUUUUUUUAAAGGUUAAAAGUUAGGUUUAAAGUUACUUAACAAGUUUAGGGACAUGGCAUGGGACUGGCCCACAAAAUCAAGGGUUUGGAACAAAUUAUUGCUAUGACAAUAGUCCCUCCUCCCCCUCCAAUGUAAUGAAACAUCAAUAUUUCCAUUAUCUGUGCCUAGGCGUUCUACCAGAAGGAUGGUAUGGGGGUGUAUGAUCUGUGCCUAGGUGUUCUACCAGAAGGAUGGUAUGGGGGUGUAUGAUCUCUGCCUAGGUGUUCUACCAGAAGGAUGGUGUGGGGGUGUAUGAUCUGUGCCUAGGUGUUCUACCAGAAGGAUGGUAUGGGGGUGUAUGAUCUGUGCCUAGGUGUUCUACCAGAGGGAUGGUGUGGGGGUGUAUGAUCUGUCCAUAUCUUUCACUGUUUGUGCCAGUUGUGGUCGUCCCCUUUUUUCUUCCCACUGACCUGGCACUCUAUCCUUCUCUAACCUACAGUCAUUUCCAUUGUCAGAAUGAAACGUCUUGCAGCGAGAAAUGCUUCCAUAUGUCUCUCUCAACUGAAACUUUUUGUAAUUUUGGUAACAGACACCGUGCCCCAAUAACACUUUUUAGAAAGCGAGAGGAGUUGAAUGGAAGGAGAGGGGGAUAUGUGAAACGGGGAGUCUGGUAGCAGGAUUCAAACAUAAGAUGAAUGAAGUAGAUCCAGUGAAUACAAUGGAAACUUUGAGUUCAUGUACUUCUCCCAAGUGGCAAACUCCAGGGUCCCCCCAAUCCCAUUUACUUCAGUAAACAAUGCAUCAUGCUAGAUGAAGUAGCUGCCUCUGUUUCCCCCAACCCCUUCUUUGCCCUGUUCUUGCCCUCCCACACACGACAGACCCAAUACACUGAACUCCUUUGGCACGAUGAUAUAUUGAAUUAUAAUCGGAUGCUACAAACUCUUGCAUAGGUAGAUGCUCAGUUCUGAGUACAGUUCACUCAGCAUCUCUGGAACAUCAUCAAAAUCUCUAUCAUUGUGUUACACCAAAUAAACAAACCCACAAACAAACUGUCUGAUUUUGGCAAGUGAACACAAGUGAGCACGUGAUAAAAAAGGUAACACGCAAAUGAAUGUAACCCAAAUGGAAUUUGAAACGGUAAAAAGUGACAUCCAUUGAAAAUCUCUUCUCCCCGCUGGAUUAAUAAUUAACAGCCCUGAGAUGAACCCUGCCCUGCUGGGACACUCUGCUUGAUCAGAAUGUUACCAGUAACUAGGCCAUGGCUCAGAUCGUGGCCCUCUUAUCUGGGGAUAAACCACAUCCUACACAUCACACCGGCACCCCAGGAGAGGCAGAACAAGAGGCUACUGGAGACGAGCUAAACUCUGUCGUAGGCUUAGCUAAGGGUUUGCGGUGACUGGCGUGAAAUGACCUGCACGACAACACACACAGGUUUACCGGGGCAACAUGACACAACGGUUUUCACUUGCCAAAGAAACAUGGAAGGGAAAAAGUGAAAACUGGUUUCUGUUGCUGAGGGUGUGGUAACGACGCUAUAGCAAUGCAUCCAGCCAUACUGCAGGGCAGUCAGUGGUGGUGGAACGUCAACAAGAGCUUCUGUUCAUUUACAGACACCACAACAAUUUAAACAUAUUUUGCACAGAGUGUGGUGUUAAAUUCACAUGUCUUUGAGCAGCCGUUUUCCUGGCAAUGCUGACCCCAUCUGAGAAAAUGGCGCAAAGAUGACUGCUUCUCCAGGGGCUAGGGGCGCCAGCGUGCGUAAAACAUACACGGUCAACUGUCUGCAGAGUUAGUGACCUGGAACUAGUUUCUCUCAGGGAGCGGAGGAAUGUGUUUAAUGCCAAAAUGAUACAUUAUGCACCUCCCUGUAAUAAUGAAGAUAAGACUGCAGGACAUUAUCACACAGAACUAAUGUAUCAGGUCUGAGGGAAGAAAGAGCUGUCUAUGGCCACUAAGUCCAGUGCUACAGGAGCAACCUAGCUAGCUAGGAAAAUAAAUUAAUAUUACCGGGCUACUUGAAGUAAUCAGUGCUGAUUUAUUGUGUGUCCUGGCUGAGUGUGUUCAUGGCUAACAAACUGUCUGCUAGGUAACGCUAUGCUACCUUACUAUUACCUCAUAGGGUCUACACCAGGGCCCCAGUGGUGAAGCAAACAUCUUAAGCACAAGGCUGAAAGAAAAACAAAAGCAUGGUCAUAUCCAUUUGAGCACAGUCCACAUUUCUCAUUGAGCAAGUUCAGGUAUAGUCCGUCCCCGAUCGGUCCCAUUUUCCUUUGUUCAUAUCGUAGUGAAUACCACCCUCUAAUCUAAGAACAGUCCAACUAAACAGAGUUAUGCAGACAGAUGGAACAGUGAAAAGGGGGCCUGAAUGGACAGCAGGGUGGAAGACACAGAGAACUGGCAGCAGGGGGCGCCAUUGGGGCGGUAGGACCAGAGAGUGAGCAGUAGUAGAAGAAAAAGCAGAGCGAGUAGUCAUAGUAGUAUCAGGGGAAGGUCCUCACAGUUCAUCUCUGGAAGAUUUGUGGGGUUUGUUUCUUAAGAAAACAUAGUUCAUUGAAUGUGUAUCUUGCAAUCCUAUAUAUUUUUUUCGUUAUUCCUUUUUUAUUAUCCAAAAACAAAAUAUAGAUCUCCUUUUUUAUAGAAUCCUGCUUUUUUUAUUAGUUGCAUAUAACAUAAAUCUUUUUAGUUUCAUCUUGAUUUUGUUCUUUUUUUUUUAUUCCUAGCCCUCUUUUUUGGUGGGGAGGCGGGGUGGUUAGGGCUUGCAGAAGUAGAGUCAUGCAGAAUAGUCAUGCUGGUAAACAAAGUAAUAAAAAUGCAUUUCCCAAUUUUUCCACUUCUUUUGCCGGAAUAGUUCAUCAAAGUUCACCCUCUUCACGCUCUUUUCCCGCACUUCUUGUGAACCUUUCUAAAACCCCCAGAUCUGAUCUUCCUACUUCCUAUAGAGAGGAGAAAGAUCCUUACAGUAAACUCUCUCAACAAGCAGCAGACCGGUUGUCAAGUUGACCCUUGCUGAUAGUUACCAAUCAGAUCUUUUUGAACAAGGUUGAUUCCUCAUUUGUUUGGUUUGAAGAGUCUCUCUGAUCGCCCUCUUCAUUCUUUAGUUCGGUAGGUUUCGUUCUUCAGGUAUUUUCGUUCAUGCCAUGCAGUUUGCUACGGAGGAGGCGCGAUGCUGAGAUGCAGAAGGGCAGAGGUAAAGAGAGGGAGAGAUGGAGAAAGAGAGGGCGAUGUCCUGUAUGUCCUUGUUUCCCAAGCAGUCGCUUCUGGUCACAGCGUUUGCGUUGCGGUCAUGUUCCAGUGUCUCUCUCCAUUGGUUUCCUCCUCAACUCUUCAGCACACACAAGUAUACUCAGGUUGUAUUUGGGCCUUUGUGGAUGAGUAGGUUCCUCAAGUUCAGACGGCACCCUCUUGCAUGUAACAUCAGUCAUAGUCAGUCAGUCAGUUAUUGUAUUGUCAGACACGCCUUUGUAUGAAAUGGCAAGUGGCAUGGUAUCUUAAAUGAGUCUGGUUGCUCCAUAAGCCACUGUAAUUCACCACCUUCGGAAAGUGCGUCUCUUGUGGAAGUUAAGAAAAGAGUUGUCAAUCAAAGGUGUGACUGACUGAACGUAGGUAUUGCCACCUCAGUGAACUGACUCGAGUCAGUGGACUGACACAGUGGUCGUUCAAACUCAAAGCUUUGCAUAGUUUGGCCGCCUAACAGAUAGAAAUGCUUGUGUGUCAAUUUAGCCAUUGGCAAGCACCUGGCUCUUAUUUUCAGGAGUCCCACCCACGCUGACAAUGCUGUGUAAUCUCAGAAUGCAGCUGCAGCUAGUUUGUAUAGCCUACCCCAUAUAGCCAAACUUCGGCAUAGUACUGUACUUCAAGAGCAUAUAUUAUCUUAAUGGUAUAUUGGGACGACAACCAAGUUGUGGAACGUUGUUCUACUGUCCCAUGUUCCUUUUGUUCUGUUUUAGGGAACUUUUGUGAUAUUGUUUGAUUGAUUUGGAAUUUCUUUAGCAAUGACUUAGCAUAUUACGACUGAAGUACAGUGAUAUAAGGUGUGAAUAGGGUGACAUAAGGAAUGGGUUUCAGUGUGUUUUUUUUCUCCAGGUAGUCAGAGUCAGGUUUCAUAGGGAGGGUGCAGAUUGAGCAGUCCACAGGAACAAGAGAUCAACUAAUCUCUUCCAGUCAGUUUUUCAUCCAUCCUCCUCUCAUCGUCCUUUCAGAUCUCUCUCUCUUUCUCUCUCCAACUACGUCUCCCUUCAGCCUACAGUAAAUCCAGUAGGGGGCGCUGGGUGAAUUGUGUCCUAAGGGUUGUCCCUCUUCUUGGAGAGAAAGGGUGAUUUUAGAAACUCAACACUGGAACAAAGAGAGAACAGAAACAGGGACUGUUGUCAGUGCACAUUCCAGCAGACCUAGAACAUCAACGGGCUAACCAGAUUAGAUGUUUAAAAACAUAUUGAAACAGGGUUUUUAGUUGACAUUAAUAGCAUAACAUGCUUGAAUGGGAUAUUUAAUUCAUUAUAUAUUCUCAGUAGUCAAUGGUAAAAAAAGAUAUUGUUUAUAUGACUGGAUGAGUACAACUCUUCAAAUACAAGAGCUAACUGAUCUAUAGACGACAAGAGCAAACAAAAGACCUGCUUUUGGCAAAGCACAUCUGGCAUGCAUGUACACAAAAUAGGAAAUGGCAGGAAAGCAUGUACACCUUGUACGCACACACACAAUCGCAUACACACAUACACACAGUACGCAGACACACCAACAAAAAUGCCGUGGGUGGUUUCAGUCCUUGAGGGCUGUUAAGUCCUCUGGCGUUUGUCCACCUCUUAAUUCAUCAGUUAGUCAUAGUCGAAUAGUGAGCCAUUUGAGCAAAAAUCAUUCCCACACAGGACCACAGCCCACCAGGACUGUUAGCAAAGCUAAACAGACCGAGUGCUAUAAGAACUUCAGUCAGUGUAUGCAUCCUAAAGCCUACAAAAGCACAGAAGCGACAUGGAGGAAAUAAUGAAACACUAAACAGAGCGAAGCACGGAAACACAAGACACGUGCUACACAAAGACUGUUACUACACACACAGACACACACCGCUAGAACACAGCACAAAGAGCACAGCACAGAACACAGCACACAGAGCACAGCGCAGAACACAGCACACAGAACACAGCGCAGAACACAGCACACAGAACACAUUCUUACACUGAGAAGCGACCAGCUUUGUUCCUCCUCUCAUUUAGUUUUUGUUCUUUCUUCCCCAAACUGUCCUCCAUUUCAUGGUUCUUCCUUUGUUGACAAACCUUCUUUUAAAAAAAUGUAUAUACAGUUCCUAUCCCCCCCCUCCCCUCCCCUGCAUGAAAAAAACAAUAUCUGCAACACCUGACAGUCUUUCUGUCCACUUCUAUGCUCUGGAGUCGUUUGCAAUCCACUUUAGGGAAGAUGGAGUUCACGUUAUGGUGGUGGUCAUUUAAUUUCUCCCCCAAAGUCUGUUAUUUUUGGUUUUUGUAAUGGACGCAGUAGAGAUGGCACAUCUCAAAAUAGAAAAGAAGCAACAAUUGGAGAAGGGCGAGAUGGGGUAAAACAAGGGAUGAGGACACAGAACACACAAUAUUUACAGGUAUGCACAAACUGCAGAGGAAGCAGAACAUUUCAAACCUUCUCUCUGUCCGGCUCUGUUAGACAAAAAUGUCUGGAAGCACUGAUUUCAACCAACAUAGAGAGAGAGAGAUAUAUAUAUACCUGAGUUGUGAAUGAAGCCUGAAGUAACAGGUAAAAAUGAAGAAGAGGGAAGAGUGGGAGGUGUAGUCAAGAACAGUGUGUCUAUGAUAUUACAUUAACUUGUACAUCAAUUGGCUAGGCUACAAACAUCCUAAAUUGUAUCAUCUUAAAAUCAAUCUUGCUAGUUUGGACCUACUUUUUGAAGCAUCUUUGGAACAAGUUUUUAUUUUUUACAGGUAACUACAUAUGCAUUAAAGCAAUGAUCCAAUGAUAGCAUGAUAACAUGAAAACAUGAAACAUGACAAAUGAUAGCAUGAUAACAUGAAAACAUGAACAUCAUCCACCAGCGACACCCUUAACUUCUCCACCACCAAUGACCCACAUAACAGAAUCAGAAUUCACUCAACUGAUCUGUUGACCUUUUGCUGUGUUUAAAGACAACCCUUUCCUGUCCCAACAUGGGGGAAUCAAUAGGGAAACACACAUUCUGGACUAUUUCAUGGGAGAACACUCAUUAUUGACUAUUUCCAUUCUUAUUAUAAGGACAGUGUCCAAAGUGGCCUGGGCAGUAGGGGGCCAUUUCAAAACCUAGACAUUUCAGAUGCAUCCUAAGGCUGAAAAGGUAAAUGAUGCACAUAUACGCAGCAGAAGGAGUCAGGUGUUUCCACAGCCUAGUGGUGGUCACUUUUGAACUCUAGAGAAAGUACAGUCCAUCCUUAGAGUGUUAAAGACAGAUGAGAUUUAUUUUGCUAUCUGCCAUCAUGACUCUGUCAUAAAUCUGUAAUGCGGGGGAAGAGGUUUAUUUCAAUGUGACUCUGUUUUCUUACUCCUCGUGGUCACUGAUUACCGCUACACCCCACUGUAGAUGUCCUAUAGAUGAUUUCUGGAGGGAACAAAACGGCAUACGUUGUGAGGGUUUCCCCUCCACUUAGGGCAGCAUGUUUGGGUCACUUGUAAGCUACUCAAAAGUAACUUAUGUUCCUUUAAGAAGUUAAAGCCCUGUCAUUUCAAGUGGAAGAGGGACAAUACAGGACAGGACAGAAUGGAAAAACAGAAAGGUUCAACAGAGGUUUAUGGAGUGUGUAGAAAAGUGGGUAAGAUUGGGGCUGGCUUUGGCCGAUGUGGUUGUCAAAGGCAGAAAUUGAGUUAUGGGCACUCAUGUUCCUGCCAUUGUGAAAAAAGAGACGAAGUAGAUUGUUCUUUUUCCCCAUCUAGUAUUAAUUCACAGUUACUGCUUCUUUUUGCAUAUAUCUGAUGAGCACAGGGCUCUCAGAAUAGUUCUCUGUGAAAAGAUAACAAAAAAGUAAAUGGUAAGGUAAAUAUUAUUACCAGUUAGUCUAGUUAGGUCUAUAAGAAAUAACAGCUACAAGAGACCACUACUUACCCCUUCCCUACAAUUGUAAAAAAUGGAUUUCCCAAACACCCCCCCCAACCCUGCUAGAGUAACAAUGGUCUCUUCCAUCUUUUUGCAUCAUAGCAUGCAUAUAUAAGCCCCACUCUUCUGAUAGAAAACAGUAGAGGUAAGUGCUCUUUCCCCUAAUAGCAUGCUGGUCAUCUAUAUGGAUGUGCGUAGAACACAUUCAUAUACACUUUUUAUAUACUAUAACUAUGUACACAUUCAUUAAGCUUACGAUCAAAUCUCAUGUCUUAUCAAAUCACGUUUCCUGACUAAAGAUACAGACACAUCGAUUCCUUAUUGCUUGCAAUGGAAAGCCCAUGCAGAUUGAAAUAGGUCAAAACUUUACAACUGUACAGAAUAUUUUGGACCAAUAACUGGCCUAAGAAGAAUUCUUAAAGAAAUUAAAAACAGACACCCAAAGCACUAGAUCAAGGGAAAGGAUUCUGGAGAGAUCAAGGAAGGAUGAGAGAACAUGAGAGUCAUUUGGUAGUUUGUGUUUGGGCAACAGUGUCAUAUACAAAGAUAAAGACACUAUGGGUACAAACAACUCUGGGGGCUGAGUACCAGUGUGGGCGUGGCGGGGUGAAUUCCAUUUAUAUUCUAUCAAUUCUGAAGGUGAAUAUAACAUUCAAAUCCUAAUAUUCUGUAAAAUGGUGGUAUUCAUUUGUGCCUCAAACGAAUAUUCUGCUUCACGGGCAUUAACAACAUAUUCUAGUCUGAAGUCAUUCAGGUGACAUCGAAAUGAGGGGAGUGCAAAACAGUUAUCAGCAACUGGAUGAUCUCUGACCAAUCAGAGCUCUACAGAAGCCGUUUUGACAUUUAGUUUUUCUCAUGUUCACUCUUUUCUCAUGGCUCUGGUCCAGCCCAUCCAUUUCUUGGACCUAUCAGAGGGAACCCAUCAGUUUCUAGGACCAAUCAGAAUGUUUUAGAUAAUUUAGACAAUAUAUCCAUCUCCUGGAGAUUCCAGACUCCUUGCAGAGAAGAAACAAAUGGCAGUAGCACAACAUUUGGCCAGAGCAAGGAGUCUGGGUUGCCAGGAAAAGCUCUAAAUUCAUGGACUGAGAUUCACUGCAGUCAGAACAGCCUCCACCCUAACCCUUUAGGUUCUCCCUCCCUGACAGUGCUGCAGUCAGAACAGCCUCCACCCUAACCCUUUAGGUUCUCCCUCCCUGACAGUGCUGCAGUCAGAACAGCCUCCACCCUAACCCUUUAGGUUCUCCCUCCCUGACAGUGCUGCAGUCAGAACAGCCUCCACCCUAACCCUUUAGGUUCUCCCUCCCUGACAGUGCUGCAGUCAGAACAGCCUCCACCCUAACCCUUUAGGUUCUCCCUCCCUGACAGUGCUGCAGUCAGAACAGCCUCCACCCUAACCCUUUAGGUUCUCCCUCCCUGACAGUGCUGCCUCAUUUUUAAAACACUUAACCCACAAAGGCUUCUUCUAUUCUACCCUGCUACUACUGACAUAUCAUACUCUGAUCUAAUACGCGUCACAUCUCUUCACAAUGUCAGGCUGUCCUGUGGAGGACACAGUUCUUAACCUAACCAGUCCUGAGCUUUGAUUUAUGUUAAGCUUUUGUCUCAUUGUCUUUCUCUUUUUGUGUUGCCAAGAUAGAUGACUGUGGGUACCCUAUAGUCUUUUUGUAGCUGAAUACUAACUGAGGUGCGCACAAAGGCUACUUCUAUAUGAUGCUAAUGCGAACACUAGAUAUAGAUAAUGCCCGUUCUAAGACUUUGCUACUUCUGUCUGUACACAACUCUCUGUUUCUAGUGAGAGAGGAAAGGGUGGACAAGUGAAAGAUGAUGAGGGGAAGCCAUGGGAGGAUAAAAAAUCAAUAAAUCACAUCAAUUCAACCUGACAGAUUUCAAGCAACAACUGGAAUCGACCAGUGAGAGACACAAGCAUUACCUUAAAAAUGGCAACAUUCGAUGCCAAUAAGUAUCAACAAUAAAAUCGACAUCUGAUAAAAGGAGAUAACAUUGUAAAAUACAAAAAUAAACAAUUCUGUAAAUGAACCGCUUAAAUAAAAAUAUACAAUCAUGAGUGACAAUAACAAAACAUCGACAGUGGGUAUAUAAACAUAGAAUGGUCAUAGCAUUGACAUUCAUACCCAUUUCCUUUUCAUCAAACUAUUUCAAAAGAAAAUUGAGAUUUGAAAAAGUUAGUCUCUUUCUGAUCUCUGAUAUGGAAGGAAAACAUGUAUCCUCCUUUUUUUUCUCCAGAAAACAGUGAGAAAGUAAGGAAAGAUCUGUCGUUUGGAUGAAUUGGCACUCUUGCAUCUUGGGCUGGAGGUAGAUGCAUGUCUGUGCACACAAAACCAUAUGUGUGCCACAGAUACACAGCACACAGCACAUCUCCAUAAGAUUAACUAUACAUAGAUACAAAUAUAUUUCUAUACAUUGCAUAUUUCUAUAUAUGUAUGUUGCCUUUUUUGUUCAUUUUGUCAUUGGUUUGUUGGGUUCUUCUACCAAGCGCUGUCAGUCCAUCCUCCAUUCACAGUGCCCUCUUUUAACAUGAGGACCGAUGACGGUUCAGCAGCCAGGGCAGGUAGGUGGUGG